GUCUACGGCCAUGCCACCCUGAACAAGCCUGAUCCUGUCUGAUCUCGGAAGCUAAGCAGGGUUCGGCCUGGUUAGUACUUGGAUGGGAAACCACCUAGGAAGACCAAGUGCUGUAGGCG
Molecule: ribosomal RNA, 119 nt
Filed under: Pteropus alecto (black flying fox)
Lineage: Eukaryota; Metazoa; Chordata; Mammalia; Chiroptera; Pteropodidae
Source: RNAcentral